CCUCCCUUAAUUCAAGUUUCCACUUCCUUCAUUCCAAUCAAACUUCUGAGCUUGAUGAAUCUGUCAACCUUCAAUGCCUUAGUGAAUAUGUCUGCAAGCUGCAGCUCAGUAGAACAAUGAACAAUCUGUAGUGCUCCCUUGUUCACUUGCUCCCUCAGAAAAUGAAACUUUGCUUCUAUGUGCUUGCUUCUUCCAUGCAGAACUGGAUUUCUUGCUAAGCUUAUAGCAGAUUUGUUGUCUAUGAGCAAUUCUAUAGGUCUGCUAACCU
Molecule: long non-coding RNA, 268 nt
Filed under: Medicago truncatula (barrel medic)
Lineage: Eukaryota; Viridiplantae; Streptophyta; Magnoliopsida; Fabales; Fabaceae
Description: long non-coding RNA (MTRU_LNC005793)
Source: RNAcentral